This 253-nucleotide ribosomal RNA is filed under the name uncultured bacterium. RNAcentral's name for it is "partial 16S ribosomal RNA". It matches the Rfam family "Bacterial small subunit ribosomal RNA", at positions 524 to 776 of the family's 1533-position model. The record is from RNAcentral.
UACGUAGGGGGCAAGCGUUGUCCGGAUUUAUUGGGCGUAAAGAGCGUGUAGGCGGCUAGAUAGGUCCGUUGUGAAAACUCGAGGCUCAACCUCGAGACGCCGGUGGAAACCAUCUAGCUAGAGUCCGGAAGAGGAGAGUGGAAUUCCUGGUGUAGCGGUGAAAUGCGCAGAUAUCGGGAAGAACACCCGUGGCGAAGGCGGUUCUCUGGGACGGUACUGACGCUGAGACGCGAAAGCGUGGGGAGCGAACAGG